This 1194-nucleotide ribosomal RNA is filed under the name Priestia megaterium. RNAcentral describes it as "bacterial LSU rRNA". It matches the Rfam family "Bacterial large subunit ribosomal RNA", at positions 1737 to 2925 of the family's 2925-position model. Lineage: Bacteria; Bacillati; Bacillota; Bacilli; Caryophanales; Bacillaceae. The record is from RNAcentral.
CGGGAGAAGGGGUGCUCUGGUAGGGUGUAUAGCCCGAGAGAGCCGCAGUGAAUAGGCCCAGGCGACUGUUUAGCAAAAACACAGGUCUCUGCGAAGCCGCAAGGCGAAGUAUAGGGGCUGACGCCUGCCCGGUGCUGGAAGGUUAAGAGGAGGGGUUAUCCUUUGGGAGAAGCUCUGAAUCGAAGCCCCAGUAAACGGCGGCCGUAACUAUAACGGUCCUAAGGUAGCGAAAUUCCUUGUCGGGUAAGUUCCGACCCGCACGAAAGGCGUAACGAUCUGGGCACUGUCUCAACGAGAGACUCGGUGAAAUUAUAGUACCUGUGAAGAUGCAGGUUACCCGCGACAGGACGGAAAGACCCCGUGGAGCUUUACUGUAGCCUGAUAUUGAAUUUUGGUACAGCUUGUACAGGAUAGGUAGGAGCCUGAGAAGCCGGAGCGCUAGCUUCGGUGGAGGCGUCGGUGGGAUACUACCCUGGCUGUAUUGAAAUUCUAACCCGCGGCCCUUAUCGGGCCGGGAGACAGUGUCAGGUGGGCAGUUUGACUGGGGCGGUCGCCUCCUAAAAUGUAACGGAGGCGCCCAAAGGUUCCCUCAGAAUGGUUGGAAAUCAUUCGUAGAGUGUAAAGGCACAAGGGAGCUUGACUGCGAGACCUACAAGUCGAGCAGGGACGAAAGUCGGGCUUAGUGAUCCGGUGGUUCCGCAUGGAAGGGCCAUCGCUCAACGGAUAAAAGCUACCCCGGGGAUAACAGGCUUAUCUCCCCCAAGAGUCCACAUCGACGGGGAGGUUUGGCACCUCGAUGUCGGCUCAUCGCAUCCUGGGGCUGUAGUCGGUCCCAAGGGUUGGGCUGUUCGCCCAUUAAAGCGGUACGCGAGCUGGGUUCAGAACGUCGUGAGACAGUUCGGUCCCUAUCCGUCGUGGGCGUAGGAAAUUUGAGAGGAGCUGUCCUUAGUACGAGAGGACCGGGAUGGACACACCGCUGGUGUACCAGUUGUCUUGCCAAAGGCAUCGCUGGGUAGCUAUGUGUGGACGGGAUAAGUGCUGAAAGCAUCUAAGCAUGAAGCCCCCCUCAAGAUGAGAUUUCCCAUAGCGCAAGCUAGUAAGAUCCCUGAAAGAUGAUCAGGUUGAUAGGUCAGAGGUGGAAGCGUGGCGACAUGUGUAGCUGACUGAUACUAAUCGAUCGAGGACUUAACCAAA